This 547-nucleotide ribosomal RNA is filed under the name Triticum aestivum (bread wheat). Its description in RNAcentral is "partial small subunit ribosomal RNA". The record is from RNAcentral. Lineage: Eukaryota; Viridiplantae; Streptophyta; Magnoliopsida; Poales; Poaceae.
CUCUAAUACACAUGCCAUGCAUUAUCUGGCUUCUUCUCUCCCUCCCACGAAAAGAGUUUCGUAGAGCCGUAAGGCUGUCUGGGUUCCGACAGGAACUAGUUCUGUACGGCGAAGCCCUGCCGGAUAGAUGACACCGUAUGUGUGCAACUCUGUAGAGAGAUCGUAGUUUCGGUCUUAGUUCGUGAGUGCCUCCCGAAGGGCUGUCCGUGUGACCGUCCGAGUUUCGAAGGUCCUCCCGAAGGGCUGUCCGAGUGACCGUUCGAGUUUCAAAGGUCCUCCCGAAGGGCUGUCCGCGACACCGUCCGGGGGGCUGUUCGACCGCCUCCUGGAGGGCUGUCUGAGGAGCAGAUGAGGGUAUACAUCCUCGCGGUUGGGAGGUUGUAAAUCCUAGCUGCGGGGAUCUGCACCGCCGAUCGUCAUCGACUCUACUUCCCGCUGCGCUACGAGUCGGUAACGAAAAAGAUCAAACCAUGUAUGCAGUCUCCAUAGUGGUCCUGGGCUGGUGCGUAGGUCGGAAAAUUUUUGUUUUCUGCUGCGUUCCCCUACA